RNAcentral lists this long non-coding RNA (25734 nucleotides) under Selaginella moellendorffii. RNAcentral's name for it is "long non-coding RNA (SMOE_LNC001755)". Lineage: Eukaryota; Viridiplantae; Streptophyta; Lycopodiopsida; Selaginellales; Selaginellaceae. The record is from RNAcentral.
CACGUACAACAACAUCACCGGCACGAGCGUCACGUACGGCCCGUACGGCGGGCAUGAGAUGAGCAGCCAGACGAGCUUCCAGACGGCGGACGCGAGCGAGAUCGUGGGCUUGUAUGGAUUCACCUCGGACUACAUGCGCGGAAUUGGUUUCGCGCUCGAGCCUGCCAAGAACUAGAAACUUGGAUAUAGAUGAUUAAUCAUCAUACCAUGAAUCUAUCUAUCUACCAACCAUUGCUAAUUUACAGUUGAACUUGAGAAUGUAGCCACUGUUUCAAUAGUCUUGCGCCAAUUACGCGUAGAUGCGAUAAAUCCUCCUGAGCGAGGAGCACUUUGAGCUUGGAGCUGCAGAGCUCAUAAAGUCAAUGGAAGGCAAAAAAAGUCCAAGAAAGCCUCUAUUACCUUUAUUGACCUUGACAAAUUGAGUUGAGUUGUCCGUUAAUAUUGUUACUACUGUUUAUUACUUAAUCUUUUAAGGUAACUUCCAGAUAUCAGUAUGUAUCAGAUGUCAAUAUGGUUUCUGGCCUAUAUAAUUUCCUGGCGGAUCAUAGUUGCAACUAACAAGAUAAGAAUUCAUACCAUUGCACUGGACAUAAGCGCAUCCGACUCGAACAGAGCGUGUAGUGUCCACAGACCUUCCCCGCCGCGCAAGUGUUUGACGCAUAGUUGUAGUCGACUUGCUCGUUCACCCAGGCAGCCACAGCGUCAGUGGCGGGAGGAGCAGGCAAGCCGGGACUUCCCCACCACUGCCACAGAUUCUCUCCAUAUCUCCCACCCGAGUGGAUCAGCGCGCAGUUCUUUUGAUCCCGGAGAGUUGCCGCCCAGCUUGAUGCAAACGCGGGCACUGUAUCGUCCCAAACCAACCCCGAGACAUUCACAGCCGGCCGAGCUGCGUUGUGCGCGUCGACAAGAUCACUCUGCUGGCUUGCUUGAAGAACAACCAAAGCAUCACAAGAGACGAUCGCCAGAGUUGCAAAGAGGAGAGGAGAGCAAGGAGAUUUCAUGUUGCUGGGGCGAUGUUCACAAUCAAGAGCAAACUCCUACGGUUAUAUGCAAAGUCGUUGUUCUGAUCGAGUUUUUCCACUUGUGGCGCCGACUUAGCGCUUGCGAUUGUACACGAUUUUUUGCUGUGACGGUGACCCAUGAUUCGAGUACGUUUUAGUUUGGUGCUCCAUGACUUUAGCCGCCUCUUUUUCUUCCACUGCUCGAGGAGCUUCUCUUCCGGACACCCUCUGGAUACAAAUUCAUGGAUCUUUCUUUGGCAGUUUCCUCAAGCAACUUGAAUCAUCCACAUGAAUCCAUUACCAACACUUCAGUGUUUGCGUGAACUAACUGUAUCCCACACAAAGGAUUCUAUUUUGUAUUCAAGGUGGUGGUGAUGGUCUUUAUCUUGGGAUUAAAGACUGCAAAAUAAGCAUACAAACCAUGACAGACAGCAGUUGGUCCUUGUCAGCGAUUUAAACAGCGAAGCAAACAUUCCAGGCUCAGUAAUCUAGUCUAAUCCUCGAAACCAAAGAAAAAAAACCCGUGCAAUCGCAAAUCUCUCACUUGCACAUGUUCCAUCCACCCCCAAGAUUUUUGACACAUUUUAUUACACUGGUUGGUGUGCCAACAUCGCCAACUUUGAGAGAUUUUAAGACACCCCAAAAGAGCAAAUCAUUCUAUCGUCUCUUUUGAAUUCAUCUUCACUUGAGUGAAUCUGAGAGAGAGGAAAGAGAAAAGUUACAGAAUUGAAAGAAAAUCUUAUAUAACACACCGGUGGGUAAUCCUGUCUUCUACUCCUAAAAAAUCUCCUUGUUUCCUAGUGGGGCUCGAUCUGUACAGCUUUGUUUUUGUUCUUCCAUCGUCACUCUCAAACUUUUCUCAAAUCUCUUCCAGUGUGAAGCUUCACAAAACGAAAAAAAGAAGAAUUACAUUAGAGCCAUCAAUCCUAAAUGCGGCACCCCCGUCCCCGCUGUCCACGUCAUACGCCGCGUUGGUAGCCUCCCCCAUGUCCAGGGGUUCGAUUCCCGGCGCCGACGCCCUCGGGAGGAGGUCGCGGGGUCGAUUCCAGUGGGCGCGCCGGGAUGGUCGAGUGGAGGACCCCGAGAGGAGUGAAGCUCUUCUUGAUCACCCCGAGGAGACCGAUCGGCUGCGCCACAGGCGAUCGCGAUCGGCGUGCACGCCGCGGUGGUGGAAAUCGUCGUUCCGGGCCCGGGAGGGAACAAAUUCGUCUCCACGGCGCCGUUGUGGCUGGAUUUUCUUCCUCUUGCGCAGCCCAAAGAAGGAGGAGAUCCAGGAGAGCUUGCCGCCGCCGCCGCUGUGGUGAUGGGGAUUCCUGGCGCCGCGAUGAUCCCUGUAAACGUGAUGAGCCACGGGCGUGGCGGAUGCCGAUACCAGGGGACUGUGAUAGGACCCGGCGGCAUUUGCCUUGCAGUUCCGCGUGGAGAAGAAUCCAUCCGCUGGAAACCCUCCUUCCCCCCCAUUUCUUGAAUCGGGAGCGGCAAAUCGAGCAAAUGUUGGUGCUGGAGCUCCGCCGCGGCGGGUGCUGCUGCUGCCACUGCGAGAGAGGAAUUCGGUGGCUGCUGGAAGAAUCGCCCGAGAGAGAGAGCCGGAGGAGGCGAUCCCGGAGGCACAAGUGACCGGCUGCCUCUUGCUGGGAUGAACCAAGCACACGCCUGGAUCCAUCGCCAAAUCGAUCUAGUAGCAGCUCGCGUUGGGAGGAUACCACCGCAAAAAUCCCGUCGACAUGGCCCGCCCGCGUUGUCGGUGAGUGAAUUGGGUGUGAUCGAUCUUGUUGCCAAUCUUUGUCUCGGAUCCAAAUGGACAGCCAUGGAGCGCACUUUUGGAUGGCGCCACCACGAAGCUCGAGCCAAGCAGCGGACGUGAAGGAGAAGUCACCGUUCCGGUGUCAAGCCGCGUGUCUUGCAGUGGAUGUAUAUCUGCAUCCUGGCUAACCAAAGCCCAAGAACGUCAACUUUCCGUUUCAAGUUGGAAUUUUUGGUGACCAUCCGACGGUUGCAGAGGUACUCUUGUAACUUCGCUAAUUUUCCGUUCACAGGAAAGGGGGACAUCAUUGCUUUGGGAACUGAUGGCCUUUUUGACAAUCUCUUCAACGACGACAUAACCGAAGUUCUUAAAAAUUCUCUUGGGUCCGACCAAGUCAACUUGAAGGUGAACUCUCGCUGUUGACGAAUCUCAAGAUCACCAGGCAGCUGCAGCAGACCGUGUAGCUGGGGCUCAGGCCGAGCGUUUGGACAGCCCGUUUGCCAGGGCGGCUGCAAAGGCGAGAAUGAAUUGGAGCGGUGGAAAGCUAGAUGAUACCACGGCAGUUGUGGCGUUUGUGACGUGAUAUUAAGGGUAAACUUUUCAACCAGUUUUUGUGGAGGCCAGUGGAGCAGGGCAAGAAGGCAUAAUUUGGCUCACACCACUCCUCCUUGCAGCUUUCCUGAGCCUCAACACGGACGGAAAUCCCACUUUGUCAACUGAUGAUUUGGUACUGAUGAGCUGAGCAGCUGCCGCUGCCAAUGAAGCAUGCAAGCAGCAUAAAGAUUGGCAAGAUGUAGCCUCUCAUUCUCAUGAUCAAAAGGUCACCCCCUGGUUGAUGGAAAAGUAUGCAUCAAUUGUGUAAGAUAAAGGGGAAUUAUUCUUUCAUAUGUUCUUUAUUGAUAUAUAAUUAGAAGUAUUAUUAAUAAUGACUUUGAAUAACAUUUUCAACACUAAUAUCCAAAAUGACAGGUCUAAGUUACUCCUAAAGCCUAAGUUAACACUUUGCCAAAAUAUUGAGUUAUGAAUAAAAGUAACUAUAAAGUUUAUGAAUGAUUUGUUCUUUAUAUCAAAUCAUCACUAUUGUAUAUUCAAAUUGAGCCUAUCUAUCACGAAAAGGAGUUAGUUUUUUUUUUAUUAAAGUAUAGUGAUGAGUGAGUUGAGUAAUACAAAACUCUUUGUAAUAAAAAAUCCUCGAUGCAGCAUUAGGUCUGGCAUUACAAGUGGCUGCAAUUAUUGCACAAAAAAACAGGUUUUUCACAACAUUAAAUGCCAUGACAUUCAAGACAAUGAACUUUGAUAUCACAUCAUCUAAGUUUAUGUUUCUUGCAUCAUCAAGUAUUUCCCCAAUGUUGCCAUCUCACAUUCACUUUCAACCAAUAAAUGAUCCUGCAUAGCUUAUGAAGUAUUUAUAGGCUGAGAUUGAUUAACAUUUUCUAUACAAGCUCCAAAAGCAGAUGCCCCAUCAAAAUGCUGACUCUCUGUAAAUUUGUUGUAAAAAGUAAAGACAAAAGCACAUUUGUGAUUUACUCCACAAACAUUCAGUAAAUUUGAUUCUGAAUAUGAAGAGGAAUGUUUGAAGCACUACAUGUUUCAAUAUCAUGCCCAAGAAUUUUAGCAAAAUGUGUUAACCAUCAUACAUUUUUCCAUAAUAAUUACAUUUCCAAUGCCCAAGUCUUUUGCCAGAAGCAUAAGGAGUGAGCUUGGCAAUAUAGGACUAUGCCUAAUCAAGCACCAUUGUUCAAUUGUGCCAGAAUUGCUCUAUGAAAUCACUAGAAUCGUAAUUUCUAUUUUAGGGCAAAAAUUACAGUUCAUGUGAAGCCUCAGUGAGCUGCUCCAUACUCAAUCUAAAGUGGGGCCGACCAACUGGAGAGUGUCACCUUGGAGAGCUUGGUACGCACGCAGCUCCUAUAGCCCUCUGUAAGGAACCAACUCUCUGAGGUGUCAUAGGCUAAAGGAUCCCCAAAAGCAUAACCGAAAUAACAAAGAGUUUAUCGGAUGGAACCGAGUCUGAGAUCGAGUCCAAGACCGACUCUGAGACCAAGUUCGAGAUAGAGUCCGGGAUCAAGUCUGAGGCUGACUCGGAGACCGAGUUCGAGGCCGAGCUUGAGACUGAGUUCGAGACAGAGUUCGAGAUCGGGUCCGAGACUGAGUCCGAGGUCGAGUCCGAAGUUGAGUCUGAGAUCAGGUCCGAGAUCAAGUCCGAGAUCGAGUCCGAGACCGAGUUCAAAGUUAGGUCCGAGAUCAAGUCCAAAAUCGAGUCCGAGACCGAGUCCGAGUACUAAUAUAGGUUAAGGGGUGAAAGCCCAAAGCGUGCGUCUCCCAGGGAGGGGGGCUGCAAGGGGUUCCAAAAAUAUAGUAGGGAUAGUGAGGUCCAGGAACCAGUCUUGAAGGAACUCUCUAGUGGUGCUUCUAAACUGACUUGAGGUUGAGACUAGGGCCAAGGGGCCUUGGGUAGGAGUGAGCAUGGACUCGGGUGGUGCCGGAGGGGCCACCCAAGUGUUCAAGAGCAACUCCCACUUCUGAAAGGAAAACCAACCACUUGAGUACCUUGUGGCUCAUUGGUCCUCGCCCUUCCUAGGGGCUUGGGCCUUCCCUUCGGGAUGGAGGGGGGGGGGUAGAGGUACCCAUAUUGGUCUGUUAUGCCACGGUGUUUCGCCCCGGUGUCCUGAAGCAAGUGUUGCACCUAAGGCUUGGGAUUUAGAGGGUUCUAUAAUCAAAUCUUGUUGUAAGGGAUAUUAGGAACCUGGAGGCUUGUGUGCUUGGCUGCUUGUGCUUGCGGGGAGUGUAGCUGAAAGUCCAAUUUAACCCGGGGAGGGGGAUUGGGAGAGAUUUGGGAAUCCGUGGAUGGAUGGCUAAUGCUCCGUUGCUCGUGUAAUGAGUAAUUGAAACCAAGUAGGACCAAGUAGGAGUUGGUACAAUAGACGGGAACCUUGGUGAGGGAACUUAGCAAAAACCAAGGCAGUGUUGGUCAGAUAGAUGAGGUAAGUUGGCAAAUUGAAAAGGAAAAAUUUGAGGCUUACAAUUUGGUAUCGAAACCUUUUCCUCAGUUCUAGCGAAGGAUAGAAGCGGAUUGCUGGGAGAUGGCAAAGGCAGAGUAGAAACGAACUAAGGCGGAGAUAGAACCUCCUCUAGAGCUGGAGCCUCCGGUCGAACAAGAGGUUAUGGAUGAGGAAUCCUUGCAUGAGGAGAACUCUAGUGAGGAAACUUCCAAACAGAAGUCUGGUGGUGAGGUUCGGUCGUCCAAGGCUCGAUUGAACAUUCUAGAAGGACAAUUGGCACAAACCAGUGCCUUGUUGGAGACUCUCGUAUGCAAGCUAAAGUGUGAUGAGAAGCAGAAGAAAAGGCAAAAGACUGCGGAGGCUGGUAGCACAAAAGGUGUAGACCCUUUGGCAGGGAUUGAGGCAAAACCAAACAAGGUCGAACAGACCGAAGUGAAAUCAGUCCCUCAGGCAGUUCCCAAGUACAAACCAAAGCCCCCACCAAUUUUCAAGGGAGUGAAUGACUAUAAGGUGGUGGAGGAUUGGUUUUACAAUAUGGAGGACUAUUUCCGAGUGUUUCGGUUACCGAGCUCGGAGAAGUUCCCAUGUGUAAAACCAUACUUAACAAAUAAUGCCAAGUCUUGGUGGAGAACGACAGAGGCCAACAAAAGAUCGGUGGCCACUUGGGAAAUGAUGAAGGUGAGGAUUCAUGUGACUUACGUUCUUCCAAAUCCUACUUUGCAUCUAAAAGAUGAGCUGAGUAGGUUGAAGCAAACCAGAACCAUUCAGGAGUAUGUGAAUUGGUUUAUGGCAAAGAGGAUACUUGUUACGGAUAUAGGGGAUAUGGAUACGUUCCAUGCCUUCAUAUCAGACUUGCAAACCUAGGCUCGCAGUGAGGUGAUACGUUGGAACCCAACCAACUACAAGGAAGCGUUGGAUGCAACCGUCAAGGUGUAUUUCAUCAAUAACCUGUGAAAGGGGAACACGAUGGGGUCGGGGUCCACGUUUAGCAAAGGGGCCAAACCAAGGGGAACAUAUAGCAAAGGGAAAUUCAAGAAGAGUUUCUCUAAGAAUGAGUCCUCAGGGUUCCAAAAAGGCAAAUCCGGUGGUCAGCGAGCAAGUACGUGGGGGAGUUAAGCAAAAAGAGAUAAACCCAUGGAUAAAAAGGUCCAGUCAGUUAGCAGUGUGGGAAACAACAUAUACUACAACUGCGGUGAAGCAGGACACUUUUUGAGGGAAUGUCUCUACUCGAAGAAGGCCAGAGCCAAUAUGGCCAUUAAGUCGGGUGAAAUCCAAAUUGAGGUAUGUGAUCCAGUCCCUAGCUCAAAGUUACUCAUUACACGAGCAACUUUGGUAGAGAGUCGUUCACGACAUCUACUAUCCCUCUGAGGGAAGCUCGGAGGUAGCUUUGUUAAGAUCCUUAUUGACACGAGUGCUUCGGAUAAUUUUGUGGCUACAGACAUAGUCUGGCAAGCCGGACUAACAGUGCAGCGGUUGGGCGAACCAAGGACUAUAGAGUUUGUUCAAGGUAGCCAAAGCACCGAUGAGGUACUUCAACAAGCAAGAGUCGAAGUAGGGACAUGGAAAGUAGACAUGGAUUUCACCAUGUUGAACAUGGCGGGAUUUAACGUGAUCUUCGGGAUGGAUUGGUUCAAUCGAUUCAUGGUAGCCCUACAUGGAUAAAGUAGGAACCUUGUGGUAUUAGCGAAUGCCCAAGGAAGAAGAUCCAGGGUGGAGGCUCAGGAUCUAAAGGUAGAGCAAUGCAAGGUCAAAGAUUCUUGCCUAAACCUGGUGUUCACGAGAGGACAAAUCAUUAAAGGAACCAAGGUAGCAUUUUUGUGCUUACUCUCAAUGAAGAGUGACAAAAAGACGGGAACAGAAGAAAUACCUUUAAUGAUCCAGCGGGUGUUAAACCAAUUCCAGGAUACCAUGCCGGAGGAGCUACCGGCGGGGUUGCCCCCUGCACGACCGAUAGAACAUAAGAUUGAGCUAGUCGAGGGUGUUGAGGUGGUGGUUCGUCCCAUCGUUUGAACAAAAAAGAACUCGAGGAGCUCAAGCGCCAACUAAAGGAGUUGGUGGACAAAAGGUAUGUUAGGUUGAGCAAGUCGCUAUAUGGGGCAUCGAUGUUAUUUGUGAAAAAGAAAGAUAGAUCUAUGCGUAUGCGCAUAGACUACUGGUUGCUCAACAAGUAUACAAAGAAGAACAAGUACCCUUUGCCAAGGAUUGAGGACCUAUUCGAUAAGUUGGGAAAGGCAAAAUACUUCUCGAGGAUUGACCUAAGGUCAGGAUACUUCCAGAUCAGGGUAGCAGAGGAAGAUGUCGAGAAGACAACCUGUCAAACAAGGUAAGGAAGAUUUGAGUUUUUGGUGAUGCCUUUUGGGCUAUGCAAUGCGCCGGCAACAUUUUUGGCAUUGAUGAACCACAUCUUUGUACCUUAUCUGGAUUAUUUUGUGGUUGUCUAUAUUGACGACAUCUUAAUCUAUAGCGAAACGCUAGAGGAGCAUGCUAAACACUUAACGAAGGUGUUUGAGAAACUAAGGGAACACCAACUGUAUGCUAAAGAGAGCAAAUGUGACUUUGCUCAACAAGAGGUAAAGUUUCUCGGGCAAGGACGGGCUCAAAGUGAACCCUGAAAAGGUCCAAGCGAUUCAGGAUUGGGAGCGACCAUCAAAUGUACAUGAGUUAAGGGCAUUCUUGGGACUAUGCAACUACUAUCGAAAGUUUAUCAAACACUAUUUCAGAGUAGCCCUACUUUUAACGGACCAAACAGGAAAAGGGAAGAUGGUAUGGACAGCGGAAUGCGAGGUGGCAUUUGUCCACCUCAAAGAGAAGUUGAAGAAGGCUCCCAUGUUGGCGUUACCAGACUUUGGUAAGGACUUUGAGAUAGAAAUAGAUACUUCAGACUUUGCGUUGGGCGCAGUUUUGAAGCAAGACAAUCAUCCAGUGGUGUUCUUUUCGAAGAAGUUGGACAAGGCUUAACGGAAGUAGCCUACCCACAAGAAGGAAUUGUUUGCAGUGGUCAAGGCACUCAAGGAGUGGCGACACUACCUUGGGAGACACUUCAAGGUUUACACAGACAAUGUGGCAACGAAACACUUCUUGUCACAGCCCGACAUGAGAGGGAAACAAGGUCGGUAGGCUAAUGCUUUGGUUGAGUUUGAUUGCGAGAUUUUGUACAAGCCUGAGAAGAGCAACAUCGUGGCAGAUGCGCUAAGUCGAAAAGCGAGCUUGAAGUUGGCGAUAUCCAGCCUGACAGCAACCUUUUGGGAUGAUGUGCGGACAACAUAUGAGAACGAUGGUCUAGCACAAGAAGAUUGCUGAGGAAUCUGGAGGCACGGGAAACUCACCAGAGAGGUGAGCUGCCAAUAGAAGAGAAAACGGGCUAUGUAGAACACAAUGGACUCAUUUAUUACAAGUAAACGAGGGUGUAUGUUCCAAAAGGGGAACUAAGGAAGGUAACCUUAGAAGAGUGUCAUAACGAACCUCUUGCGAGACACGGUAGAGUGCCUAAGACAAUGGGCUUACUCAAGAGGAAGUACCACUAGCCAGAUAUGGCUAAAGACGUCCAAGACUAUGUAAAGACAUACCCAACAUGUUAGUAGGUCAAAGCCGUGACUAAGCCUAGUGGGGGCUUGUUACAAAGCAUCCCAAUUCCAGAUCUUCCGUGGAAAUGUCUUACGAUGGACUUCAUCACAGGGCUCCCCCCAAGCGAGGGGUUCGAUGUGAUAUUCGUGGUUGUAGUGCACCUGAAUUUGGAGCCGAACUCCAAGCCCGUUGCGCUAUGAAAUGAGGGUCCAGUACAAUCCCACGAGCACCAACUCCCCGUAUCCAGCACCUGCACUCAAAAUGGUGUCAGACGGAGUCUGGCACGAUUUUGGCAUAUCGGUGGCCUAACGCGAGAAGGAGGGUACUCCACCGACUAGAGCAACGGAGCCAAACUAAUGUCUCAGAUGGUCGGACAUGCAUUCCAACCACUAUCCCUACUAUACAUUUGGAACCCCCCAUAACCCCCCUGUAAGCUCCUGAGUUUGGACUUCCCGGGAGGUCACCCAGCCCAGUACUAUUCAAACCCAAGGACGCUUAACCCCAAAUAUCCCAAGACCCUUAACCGAUUGGAAAAGGGGGUGCACUCUUAUUCAUGGGCCCUUUCCCUCUAUAUUUGAACCCCAUGGACCGUCUCUCAAGUCGUUCCCUUUGGUUGCUUACAAUCCACCACGCUUCCCUGCAAGUUCACGCCUCGUGAACGGAAGCUGAGAGCCGCAACUCUCUCGAGAGCCUCGCUCUCUUGACACCCUACCCCUCGGGUCGAGCCCAGCGGGAGCAAACUGGACCAGCCAGAUAUCAAUCAACAUGUGGUGCGAUUCCCCUAGCCAACCAACAGAGUCGGACCUGAGACCGCUCCGAUACCAAAUGUAAGCUCCUGAGUUUGGACUUCCCAGAGUCGGACCUGAGACCGCUCCCAUGUGGUGCGAUUCCCCUAGCCAACCAACAGAGUCGGACCUGAGACCGCUCCGAUACCAAAUGUAAGCUCCUGAGUUUGGACUUCCCAGGAGGUCACCCAGCCUAGUACUAUUCAAACCCAAGGACGCUUAACCCCAAAUAUCCCAAGACCCUUAACCGAUUGGAAAAGGGGAUGCACUCUUAUUCAUGGGCCCUUUCCCUCUAUAUUUGAACCCCAUGGACCGUCUCUCAAGUCGUUCCCUUUAGUUGCUUACACCCCCCCCCCCCCCCCCUUGAGGAACACACGCUUUGGGCUUUCACCCCAAGCCUCCCUUAGUACCAGGAGUUAGUCUCUAGGACAAGCUCGAAACUUACUAAAUAUGGAAUGUCCUUAGAUUGCGAAUUUGGACACGGGAUGAACACCAUUGUGUUCAGGCCGAUCUCUACAUUCCGUAGAUAUACCAAAUGAGCUGAUCUAGACACUUUCUAUAAAUAGCAUUUGGGACCGAAAUGAGACCAACACAAAGGGCGUGAUAGCGAGGGUGUUUGGCAGACACGGUAAGCUAUCAUCCAGCGAUAUUGAAGGACUAGUCUCAAUAUGCGAGGGUUCUUGUCACUAGCAAGUGCAAGACAAAACGAGACGGGAACUCCUUACCGGGCUAAGUAUGCUUAGCUAAUAACACGUAGGAAUUCUGUCCUUAUGCUCGUCCGGUCUAAGUACACUCGAAAUGCCCAGUUAACUCCACUAGCACAAGAGGGGCUACUAAAGGGAUCCAACUGUACCAAUCUCCUGCCAUCAUGGCAGUAAGGAAAGAGUGUCCAUAAGGACCUAUCGACAAGUAUCUUUCGAUACCCGAAGUCACAUUCGCGACAGUGGUGGUGGACCGAUUUUCGAAAAUGGCACAUUUCAUACCCAUCACAACGGAAAUGGAUACGGAAAGUGUGGCGAAACUGUUCUUCAAACAAGUGGUUCGAGUGUGGGGAAGGCCAAAAGAGAUUAUCUCAGAUCGAGAUAAGAUCUUCACCAGUAGGUUCUGGUAAACUCUCCUAGAAUAAUAUCGCACCAAGUUGAAAUUCAACACAGCCUAUCACCCACAGACAGGUAUUGGGUAUUAAGUCAAGUUUGAUGGCACUAACACUUCUUGAUAGAUGGACAAACAGAAAGGGUGAAUAGGUAGCUGGAGGAUUAUUUGCGAUGCUAUGUCUCGAAAGACCAGACUGAUUGGGUAAGUCAUCUGGGACUUGUGGAAAUGUGUUAUAAUAACUCACCACAUUCGAGUAUCGGGGUGAGUCCAUGGGAAGUCAUCAAUGGGUGAGCUAUUAAAGGUUCUGUGGAACUCGGCGUGGCUGAGUAUCAUGGAGAGUUACUUGCAGUGGAGGCAUUCAUGGCGGAAAGACUCAACAUUUGGAAUCUAGUGAGGGACUCCUUGGAACGGGCUCAACAAAAGCAAACCAAGUACGCGAACCAGAAGCACUGGGAUGUAGAGUUCCAAGCUGGGGAGAGGGUGUGGCUGAACACCAAGAACCUCAAGCUACCAAGUGGGAUCAGCCGGAAGUUGACCCAAAGGUAAAAAUGCAUAUAUUUCUGUAAAUGAAUCGAUCUUGAGUUCCUUAAGCAGAUCCGUGGGGCAUUAUGAGAUUGAGGCACAAAUCGGUAAAGUGGCUUAGAGAGAUGGGGAAGAUGCACCUAGUGUUCCACAUGAACUUACUUAAGCCGUAUUUUGAGGAUCUGCUUCGCAAGGACCAAGUAAGACCUUUACCUGAGGUUAUCUAAGGGGAAGAGGAAUACAAAGUCAAGGCCAUCCUCAAUGCGCGCAAGAGCAAGCGACAAAGACGCGAGGUGAGAGAGUUCCAUGUGAAGUGGAAAGGAUUUCCACAUUGCGAAGCAACAUGGGAACCGAAAGAGAACCUAGCGAACGCACAAGAUUUAGUGGAGGAAUUUCUGCAAGGUAGAACUCUAUGUACUUAUGCAAAGUUCAUUUAAAGUAUCAAUUUGUGAAGUUGCAAUGGCAUAUGUUGUGACCCGAAGGCGUGCCGAAGGUAAGCUAAUUAGCAUGGGUUAGCUAGGUCGACCAAGCAUAAAGAAUUAUGCCUAACUCCCCAUGGGGAUGUCAAAUCCGUAUACAUAUUCUACGGAAGUUGGGUUUGAGUCCCAACCCCCUAGUAAAGCAAGGCUGGGUUUAAGUCCCAACCCCAUACUAGGGCGUGGUGGGGUGAGGGGUAUAGGGACAUCUAUAUUCUGUUGUCAUGGGCUCUUGGCCGGGGAGGCUAACUUAGGCACACCGCUAAGUGGGGGGAUGCCUCCGGAGACAUGGUCAACAAAUCGUAGGAUAAAAAGAGACGUUUGAUGAGGGCACCGAACUUCUUCUAUGGGUGGUGGAGUUGUAAAGAACCAACUCCCCAAGGUGUCGUAGGCUAAAGGAUCCCCGAAAGCAUGACCGAAAUGACAAAAAGUUCAUCGGACGGGACCGAGUCUGAGAUCGAGUCCAAGACUGACUCUGAGACCGAGUUCGAGAUAGAGUCUAGAAUUGAGUCUGAGGCCAACUCGAAGACCAAGUUCAAGGCCGAGUUUGAGACCGAGUUCAAGACAGAGUCCGAGAUCCAAGAUCGGGUCCGAGACCGAGUCCGAGGUCGAGUCCGAAGUUGAGUUCGAGAUCGGGUCCGAGAUCGGGUCCGAGAUCGAGUCGAAAGUUAAGUUCGAGAUCAAGUCCAAAAUCGAGUCCGGGUGGGAUUCUCGCAGCUCGGGGAGCUCCGCAAGGCGGAGCGUCUCUUUCGAUCCAUCCCGGAGAGGAAUGUGGUUUCUUGGAACACGAUGAUCGCCACUUUAUUUUUGGAACCCCUUGCAGCCCCCCUCCCUGGGAGACGCACGCUUUGGGCUUUCACCCCUUAACCUAUAUUAGUACUCGGACUCGGUCUUAGUAGGGAUAGUGAGGUCUAGGAACCAGUCUUGAAGGAAUUCUCUAGUGGUGCUUCCAAACUGACUUGAGAUUGAGACAGAGGCCAAGGGGCAUUGGGUGGGAGUGAGCAUGGACUCGAGUGGUGCCGGAGGGGCCACCUAAGGAAGUGUUCAAGAGCAACUCCCACUCCCGAAAGGGAAACCAAUUGCGAUGCUCCUGGCUCGUGUGGAAUGGUGCCCCACUUGAGUACCUUAUGGCUUAUUGGCAUUCCUUUCGGGAUGGAAGUGGGGGGGUAGAGGUACUUAUACCGGGCUGUUAGGCCACAAUGUUUUGCCCUAGUGUCCUGAAACAAGUUGUAAGCUCCUGAGUUUGGACUUCCCGGGAGGUCACCCAGCCCAGUACUAUUCAAACCUAAGGACGCUUAACCCCAAGUAUCCCAAGACCCUUAACUGAUUGGAAAAGGGGGUGCACUCUUGUUCAUGGGCCCUUUCCCUCUAUAUUUGAACCCUAACGGAUCGUCUCUCAAGUCAUUCCCUUUGGUUGCUUACAAUCCACCACGCUUCCCUGCAAGUUCACGCCCUCGUGAACGGAAGCUGAGAGCCGCAGCUCUCCCGAGAGCCCCGCUCUCUUGACACGCUACCCCUCGGGUCGAACCCAAUGGGAGCAAACUGGACCAGCCAGAUGUCAAUCAACGUGUGGUGUGAUUCCCUUAGCCAACCAAUAGAGUCGGACCCGAGACCCCUCUAAUACCAAAUGUAAGCUCCUGAGUUUGGACUUCCCGGGAGGUCACCCAGCCCAGUACUAUUCAAACCCAAGGACGCUUAACCCCAAGUAUCCUAAGACCCUUAACCGAUUGGAAAAGGGGGUGCACUCUUGUUCAUGGGCCCUUUCCCUUUAUAUUUGAACCCUAACGGAUCGUCUCUCAAGUCGUUCCCUUUGGUUGCUUACACAAGUGUUGCACCUAAGGCUUGGGAUUUAGAGGGUCCCAUGAUCAAGUCUUGUUGUACCAAGGGAUAUUAGGAAUCUGGAGGCUUGGUGUGCUUGGCUGCUUGUGCUUGCGGGGAGUGUAGCUGAACCUUAAAUCCAAUCUAACCCGGGGAGGGGGAUUGGGAGAGAUUUGGGAAUCCAUAGAUGGAUGGCUAACGCUUUGUUGCUUGUGCAAUGAGUAGUUGAAACCAAGUAGGACCAAGUAGGAGCUGGUAUAAUAAACAGGAACCUUGGCAAAGGAACUUAGCAAAAACCAAGGCAGUGUUGGUCGAAUAGACGAGGUAAAUGUGAGACACAAAAUCCCUAAGCCCCAAAGUGGAGCUGGAACGGUGCCAUGUGGUGGUGGCCGAAGCGAAAACCAAACAAGCGUAACACGUUUGGACCAAAAAGCUCCAACUUGAAAAGGUCGAAAGUGGGAGUGGAAUUCCUAACGAAGUGCUCGAGGAGCGAGCACGAAGUGAGCAAUAAGCGAGGCUCCAAAAAGGGACCCAAAAGGACCAACACAUGACACAAGGAAGUGUCCAAAAUGGACCCGAGUUGGGGUCUGAAGUGGAGUCCGAGAUGGAGUCCAAGGUGGAGUUCGAGAUGGAGUCCGAGAUGGAGUCCGAAAUGGACCCGAGAUGGAGUCCGAGAUGGAGUCUGAGAUGGACUCGAGAUGGAGUCCGAGAUGGAGUCCGAGAUGGAGUCUAAGAUGGACCCGAGAUGGAGUCCGAGAUGGACCCGAGAUGGACCCGAGAUGGAGUCCGAGAUGGAACCGAGACCGAGGCAGAGACCGAGACCGAGUCCGAGUCCGAAACCGGGACCGAGACCGAGUCCGAGUCCAAGUUCGAGCCCAAGUCCGAGUCCGAAUACUAAUACAGGCAAUUGGGUGAAAGCCCAAAGCGAUCGUCCCCCAGGGGGCGGGGGGGGGUUGCGGGGGGUUCCAAAAGUAUAGUAGGGAGAGUGUGGGGGUUGGAGCCCAGUGGAGCCAGUUUGGCCAAGAAAGGCUAGUUUGGCCCAGGAAAGGCCAUACCCAGUGUUGGGUGAUGAACUGACCAUUGGGAAGUCCAAGACUAGAAUGAAUAUGGACUGACAAGCAGGGUAGCUUAGUGAAGUGUUCAAGAGCCGGCUCUAGUUUCCCCGGGAGAUCGACUGGCUGAUACUCCCAGUCCAAGUGUGGGUGGCACUACCUACUUGGAUACCAAGCGUGGCUCAAUGGAACCUUGCUCUAAGCCCAUGGCUAGAGCAUCCAAAGGCGGAAGGCAGGGAGAGUACCCAUGAGGCCUGUGUAGGGCCACGGUGUUCCGGAAUGUUGUCCCAAAGGCCUAGACUGUGGAGAGGAAGAGGAGUAGUCCUCUGGUGUAGUGACCAAGGAUACAGUCGAGUGGUGAGGAAGUCCCAGAGGACCGUGGGACUUAGUGGUCAGGCCUGUGGGCCUUGAUCCAAUGGCAGUGUUGGCAAACAUGGCCAUGGGCAGAAAGCGACUUAGUGAAGACCGGAAAAGGGAUAUUGGGGAAGGUUAUUCCUCUUGUUUGUGGGCAUCCUAAGGAUGCUAAGGAGUGGAUCUGGAAUGAUCACUCAUGGACGGAUGGCCCAAUCUUUGAGAGACAGGAUGAUGGUGUAGGUGGUGUCAGACCAUCGGUGGGACCAAGUGAAUGGGCAUGGCCUUAGCGUAACGGGCUGAUGUGUUGGUGGUACUUUGGGGUGUCGAUCAUGGGACCGGACACGUGGAGCACUGGGACCAAGUGCAAAGGUUGAGUGGCAUGGAUGCCAUUCUCGAGGCUAGCAAGCCCCAAGUCCUGAGUGGGACUUAUGGAGGUUAUGAAUGAGACUCCUCCAAGUGGUCGGAGGUGUGGUUAAGUGACUAAAGUAGAGAGGAAAAAUUUAGUCACUUACAACUUGGUAUCGGAACUAUUCCUUAGUCCAACUCUUAUUAGUGGCCAAGUAUAUCACCGCUUGUAUUGGAAUCGGAAGGUCCUAGAUAUGGACCUAUCCUUGAGGAGUAGCAUGUCAAAAGGACAUGGCUCUCCACUCAAGUUCAUGCAUGAACUUGUGCACGGUAUGGUGGAUGGAAAAGGGCCAGUAAGGGAACGACUUUGGGAUCUUGGGAACAGUAUAAGGGUUUCCUCAGAAAGCUGAGGAUGUGAUCCAAAUGAGCAUUUGACGCAGCAAACGAGCUAAUGUAGUUGUGGUAAACAACUAUAGUUGGGAUCACAGGAAAGAUGCAGACUCCAAAACAAUAAAGGAGUCACAAGAUUACCCUUAUAUGGUUGAGGCUGGUACUCAUAAAUUUGAGACCGGAAUUGUUGACCGUGGGAGGUCAAAUACAGAAGAGGACACCAGUCCUUGAAAUGGUAGCCGGGGCUACCUCUAAUAAAUGUUGGAACAACCCAAGGAGUUGGGGGUGUACUUAAAGAUGAGUUGCUAUUCUCAUCACAUGGACAAGUAGUCCUAAGGGGCAAAGGUUAGCCCCAAGAAAAUCAUCAAGUGUCAGAGUAACACUUGCAAAAAUUGUCCUUGUGAGUAGGACAUGAAUACAAGGAGUUGUAUUCCAGUGAGUUGGCACCUCUAAGACUGAGACCUCGCAGAUUGUUGGAUUAGCAAAGUCCAAAAUGCUGGAUGACUCAAGCAGAGUCAGGGAAUGGUCCUAAAGGAUUGGUUGGAGCAUUUGGAUAAGGUGUAUGGUGCCCCAUGAGGUAUGGGGAGGAUCAUAAGAUCCAAGUAUGAGAACAGUAAGUAUCUCAUUGAUGGCAGAAUGUGCCAUACUAAAGUUGUGGGAAAGAUGUUCCCAGAAGAAAGCAACUUUGGCCCAGAGUUGGGUGCAAACAUUAUGGUGCGAUGCUAACGGAUAGUUAGCAUGAGGAACAACUAUAUUGAUCUUGGCAAAGACCUAGACACUAAUAAGUAGUGUCAUAAGGGUAGGCUCAUAGGGCCGAUGGUGUGGAGACACUAAAUGUGCCAAGGUGUGAUACCUUGAGGUUAUGAUGGUAGGUUCAUAAGAACCCCUUGCCAAGGGAAUCCUAACGGAAGCGGGAAUGGCAUGGCCUAAGCUGGAAGGCAUGCGGUUGGAGUGUGGUGACCCAGAUAAUGAUGGAGGUGUGGAAGCACCAAACAAUGAGUCGUAGGACUUGACAACUAUGGGGCAACUAAGCAAGAGGUGCAAGAUAAUUGGUUAAAUGGGUAGAAGGUAGCUACUCAAGACUUCUUAAUGGCAUAAGGAAAUUACAUGUACCCUUACGGGGGAUAAAUUGCUUAUGUUGCGAUAUAGCAAAUCAAUAUCAUAAACAGGAAUGCUCAUUGUCAGGAGGCCAUCAUUGGGACACCCAAGCACUCUAGAACACCAGGAGGUGGUGUUUCGUGUCGCAAGGGCAAUAAAUAAGGCCCAAGGGACUAAGUCCCUAGCGAAUGAUGGAUAGUAGGUGCUAUCCAAAUGUCCAAGGUUGUGGAGAUAGAAGAAGACUGUCUACCCGAAUUGGACAAAGCCAAAAAUGGAAUUUUGGCAAGGCUAGUGAUGGGUAUGUAAAGGCCCAUAAGCAGCAACGUUAAUCCCGAUGUGUGGGAUUAUAAAGUGAGCAUGCCCAAGAUUGAGGAACCACUCCCUAGGCUAUCAGGUAGGUUCAUCCCUAAGAAUACUUGUUAAGGCAUAGUAAAAUGUGCAAAGCUAUCCUCCUAGUCUGGAGGAGAAUAACCAAAGGAAACAUAUGGGGCCAAAAGGCAAGUAGUAUUGGGAUGGAACUAAACCAUAGAAAUCGAAAGGCAUAUCCAAUGGUGGUUAUGCAAGUUGGGAGUGGAGAAUCAAGAGGGUGCUCGAGGAUGUUGUUACUUGCAACCAUAUGGAAAGUCUAAAAUAUGGAAUUGUCCAUGUUAGACUAUAUGGCAACUAUAAAGCUUGCGAAAAGGGAGGCCUUAGCAAGCUAAGGGACAGAGUUCCUUCAAGGUUCCCAAAGACGAUUCUAGGUAGUUUAGUACCUAGGAAGGCCAAGUGUAAAUGGUUCAUAAAACGCGCGAAAUCAGAGUGGCGCAGCAGAAGCGUGGUCUUGAAGCUUGCCAUGAGGCAAGGCUCUCAAGGUUAGGGAAGUAGUUCCCGAGUGUUCAAAAAGAGGGCUUUGAACGAAAGUUGAUAGUCAAGGACUUUCACGCUUAUGCAUGAACCAUGUUACGAUAGCCGGAUGACUUGCCAAGCGAGAUUAGCAAGUCGGGGGAACAAAUACCCUAGUUGAAAGUGAUAACUUCAAAAAGGGUGGGCCAUGGGGCCAAGCAUGGAGGAGUCCAUGCAUGAUCACAGACUUGUCAAGUGAGAGGACUUGGCAGUGUGGAGGAACUAGGUUCCUAAGCUAUGAUCUGUAGCACGCUUUAAGUAUAAGUUGGUGCACUGGCGUGAUGAGUCACGCUAGGCAUCCUGGGUAAUGCCAUCCGUAGAUGCAUAUACGGAGGUUGGGUUCGAGUCCCGACCCUCUAAUGCUGGGGUUCGAGUCCCAAAUCACUAGGGCGUAGUGAUGGUUUGGAAUAUGAGGACACUCAUAUUUCGGUGGUCAUGGACUCUCAGUGAGGAGACUGGCUUGGGCACACCGCCAAGCGGGGGAUGCUCCGGAGUCGUGAUACACAGUUAAAUUGCUUAGUGUGGCUUGGCAUAUCUAACUUGAACACUUUGGUGCGAGUGGCACCAAGGACGUGGUGAAUGAGAUGGGGACACCCAGUCUCAGUUGCUAUGGACCCUUGGCCGGAAGGGCUAGCUUGAGCACACCGCCAAGUGUGGGGGAUGCCCCCGGGGUCAUGGUCAACAAGUUAAAGGUUUGGGAGACCUAGUACCUAUUGGCAAACCUGUUAAGGUAUUAAGAUUAGAUCACUAGGUGAUCGUAUGGCUAAACAAGGACGAAAUCCUUUUGAGGUUAAGGAACAAGGUUCCUAGGUCAAAACGUUGAUUUAAACUAUUGAUAAUGGUGUGGCUUGGUCAAGAAGGACACCUAAGGGAAUUGAACUACGACGAUACAAUGAUAUUAUGAGUUCAAAAAAGUAGUCUCUAGAAAGGACCUAUGGGAGGGUCACAAUGUUGGGCCGUGGAAGGGGCCCAUAGCAGAAGUUGCUACCCUUUGGACUUGGCAAAGUGGAAUUUUGCCAUGGAACCAAAAGAAUACCUCAAGGAGGGAGGUAGUGAUCCUUUGUUGCUUGAUGCAACAAUCAAUGGAUAGGAGCAAAAGACUAGUGGCCAAGUUUGGGCCAUGGAAUUUAAUGGGAGGAAUCCAAAUGGCAAAGUUAGCCAAGGAACACUAAUGUGUUUGAUACUAACGGAUUGCGGGAAAGGAAGUGGACUUCCAAGGUUAGAUUCCUAAGUGCUCCAAUUUAGCAAAGUAAAAGCUUCAAGUGAGGAGCAGCAAAGUAGCCAAAGGAUAGGGCUGUGGACAGCCCUGACACAAAUGAUAAUAAUUGGAACAUAGUGCCAAGGGUGGCACAAAAUAAAAAAGAGGAUGAUGGUGCCCUCAAGUAGAGAACUUCCUAGGAUAGGGAAGUGGACUUGCACAAUAUGUGCAAUGCAAAGUGUCAGAGACACCUAGGAAAUUGACUUCAAGAAGUCAAAAGUAAACGUUCCAAAGUGCAAAGGUUAUGUCGAUAGAAUCUGAGACUACUCGAGAAUGAGUAGUGGAAUUGAGUUAGAGAAGGUGUCUCUAACAAGUUUAGCGAGAACUGAACCAAUAAAAGGGAGCAAACCACCCCAGGUGGCCGAAUGAGUCUCUAUGUUGGAGAGACUAUGCCCCUUAGAGGAUAGACAAGGCAUGGUGAGCCUUUGGUGUCAAACCAUAGACAAAUAUUGGCUGGGUGCCAAGGAUGGAACUGGUAAUACAUGCGGGUGUUACUUUAUAAGAGGGUUUACCAUUCGAUGAGGACAUCGAACUUCGUCUAUGGGUGGUGGAGUUGUGAGACACAAAAUCCCUAAGCCCCAAAGUGGAGCUGGAAGGGUGCCAUGUGGUGGUGGCUGAAGCGAAAACCAAACGAGCGUAACACGUUUGGACCAAAAAACUCCGACUUGAAAAGGUCGAGAGUGGGAGUGGAAUUCCUAACGAAGUGCUCGAGGAACGAGCACGAAGUGAGCAAUAAGCGAGGCUCCAAAAAAGGACCCAAAAGGACCAACACAUGACACGAGGAAGUGUCCAAAAUGGACCCGAGUUGGGGUCUGAAGUGGAGUCCGAGAUGGAGUCCAAGGUGGAGUCCGAGAUGGAGUCCGAGAUGGACCCGAGAUGGAGUCCGAGAUGGACCCAAGAUGGAGUCCGAGAUGGACCCGAGAUGGACCCGAGAUGGAGUCCGAGAUGGAGUCCAAGAUGAAGUCCGAGAUGGACCCGAGAUGGAGUCUGAGAUGGACCCGAGAUGGAGUUUGAGAUGAACCCGAGAUGGACCUGAGAUGGAGUCCGAGAUGGAGUCCAAGAUGGACCCGAGAUGGAGUCCAAGAUGGAGUCCGAGAUGGAACCGAGACCGAGGCCAAGACCGAGACCGAGAUCGAGUCCGAGUCCGAAAUCGGGACCGAGACCGNNNNNNNNNNNNNNNNNNNNNNNNNNNNNNNNNNNNNNNNNNNNNNNNNNNNNNNNNNNNNNNNNNNNNNNNNNNNNNNNNNNNNNNNNNNNNNNNNNNNUUUUUUUUGGGGGGGGGGGGGGGGCUGCAGGGGGUUCCAAAAGUGUUAGUAGGGAGAGUGUGGGGGUUGGAGUCCUAGUGGAGCCAGUUUAGCCAGGAAAGGCCAGUUUGGCCCAGGAAGGCCAUACCUAGUGUUAGGUGAUGAACUAACCACUGGGAAGUCCAAGACUAGAGUGAAUACAGACCAACAAGCAAGGUAGCUUAGUGAAGUGUUCAAGAGCCGGCUCUAGUUCCCCUGGGAGAUUGACUGGCCGAUACUCCCAGUCCAAGUGUGGGUGGCACUACCUACUUGGAUACCAGGCGUGGCUCAAUGGAACCUUGCUCUAAGCCCAUGGCUAGAGCACCCAAAGGCGGAAGGCGGGGAGAGUACCCAUGAGGCCCGCAUAGGGCCACGGUGUUCCGGAAUGUUGUCCCAAAGGCCCAGACUGUGGAGAGGAAGAGGAGUAGUCCUCUGGUGUAGUGACCAAGGAUACAGUCGAGUGGUGAGGAAGUCCCAGAGGACCGUGGGACUUAGUGGUCAGGCCUGUGGGCCUCGAUCCAGUGGCAGUGUUGGCGAACACGGCCAUGGGUAGAAAGGGACUUAAUGAAGACUGGAAAAGGGAUAUUGGGGAAGGCUAUUCCCUUUGUCUGUGGGCAUCCUAAGGAUGCUAAGGAGUGGAUCUUGAAUGAUCACUCAUGGACGGAUGGCCUAGUCUUUGAGAGACGGGACUGUGGUGUAGGUGGUGUCAGACCACCGAUGGGACCAAGGUGAAUGGGCAUGGCCUUAGCGUAAUGAGCUGAUGUGUCGGUGGUACUUUCGGGUGUCGAUCAUGGGACCGGACAUGUGGAGCACUGGGACCAACUGCAAAUGUUGAAUGGCAUGGAUGCCAUUCUCGAGGCUAGCAAGCCCCAAGUCCUGAGUGGGACUUAUGGAGGUUGUGAAUAAGACUCCUCCAAGUGGUCAGAGGUGUGGUUAAGUGGCUAAAGUAGAGAGGAAAAAUUUAGUCGCUUACAGUAAAUUGGCAAAUUGGAAAGGAAACAUUUGAGGCUUACACCCUCUUGGUCGGAUUCGAUGAAGGCUUGCUGGGCUGGGCAUUUGUGGAUGGAUGGAUCGCUCCAUAGCAGUAGGAGAACCAGCAAAGCAGUGGAGAUGUAGUGGCGAUGGCAAUAGCCGCAGCAGCAUUAGAAAUCUAGCCCCACGAGUGCAAUUGCCAUUGGAAUCACCGAACGGAUUGGGAUUCCAGCUGAACGUGGUCGAGACCAACAAUGCUAGAUCUGCACCGACUCACCUUGGAUUCUAGAAAUCUAGCAGCGUAGCGGCAAUGCACCUGGCGCCAUCAAUCGAUCUCCUCUGCGGGCAAAUAUCUGAUAAGUAGUGGAAUAUUUUGGUUCCCAUGAAUCUAGGCCAUCUAUCAGCGAGUGUGCCUCUUAAUCGUGUCACUUGGAAACAAGCCCAGCUUAGAAGACACACAAUUUUUUCUAGUUACGUGUUUGUCAUCUCAAGACACUUAAAAGAGGAUUACAAGGACGACGAAAGCCAAUAUAAUAUACACUACACCCCUUUUUGUCCAACUAUGUACCUCACAUACACACAUGCUUUGUAAGUACAUUUUUUAGAAGCUUUUCAUUGGCAUCGAAGGGGCCUCCUCAUAUACAUUGUCCUCAAAAUAUGUUAAGGGAAGAAAAAAAACGAAGAAGAACACUAAUAGUAAGAGACCUGGUGUAAGCAAAAAGAUGGAUGCCCCCCUCCCUCCCCCUAAGUAGUGUUGUUGUUACAUCGUCAAUGUAGCGACAGUUUGACCACAUGCCGCAGAGGGAUUCGGUAUCACAGACCGCCAUGGUUGCAGAUUAUGCCCAAUGCGGGCAUCUUGAACUUGCGACGCGAUUGUUACAGGAGAUGCCUCGGCACAAUCUUCUGUGUUGGAAUGCAAUCCUCUUGGCGACCGCUGCCGAGGUCCGGAUAAGCAGAGAAAGUCAGAUCUUUGAGGAAAUGCCCGAGUAAGACAUCGUUUCUUGGAGCACGUUGCUUUUGGCAUAUGCCCAGAACGGUCUCUUGGACGAAGCCAAGCAAACUUUUGGACUGAUGCCUCAGCACAACUCCACGUCUUCGACAGCCAUGCUUGCGUCGUAUGCGCAGCACAAGCAGCUGCGAGAGUCCAAGGUUUUUUUCGACGACAUGCUGGAACGCGACGUGGUUUCGUGGACUGCGAUGCUUGCAGCGUAUGCUCACAAUGGUCACGUCAGGCAUUCCGAAAGGCUGUUUGAGUCGCUUCCCGAACGGGACACCAUCUGCUGGAGCGCUAUGCUUGCCGCUCUUGUUCAAAACGGGCUCUACUUGGAAGCUUUUGUUGUUUUUGACGAGAUCAAGAUGGCGGGAUCAAUUGACAAGGUGUGUUUUGUAUCGAUCUUGCUUGCAGCCAGGGAGGGAAGGUUUCCACUGCAAAAUCGCUCUUCGUCUCGAUGAGUCUUGGUUUUGGGUUUCAACCGAGCAAGCAGCACUAUUGCUGCACGAUUCUUUGGGCAAGCCGGGCAUUUGGAAAAUGCGCAAGACCUUGUGGCUAACAUGCCAUAUGUACCAGAUUCGAUUCAGUGGAGGUGCUUGUUUGGAGCAAGCCGAAGUAACAAUGAUGCUCAACAUGGAGCUUCGGUUGCUAGGGAAAUAAUCGGACUAGAUAAAGAACAUUCUGCUUCAUAUGAGCUUUUUGCCAACUUGAUAAGGUUGUAGAUUUUUUAUUUAUCCGUCAUUUAGGCCCUUUAGUUUAAAUAAAUUGUAAAUCUAUAACUUUUACAUUUUAUUGGUAAUCUCGCCAUACAUUUUGUAAGUACCCCAAGAAUAGGUGAAUAUAACAAUGUUCUGUGUUUUCUGAAACAGAUUAUUUGAAAAAUAUUAUGGCUGGUGUGAGAGCAAUGGUGGAUUUGGGUAUAGAUCAUGUACCAAAUGAAUAUUUGACAUCCAUAUGCAAAGGCAUAACCAUCAAAGCUCCAAACAACCUCCCAAUUAUUGACUUAAGUGGCAUAGAUAGUGAUGAUUUGAAAAGAAAAUCAGCAGCUGAAGAAAUUCAUCUAGCAUGCCAGAAAUGGGGUUUUUUCCAGGUAAACAAUCUCUUCUGAAAUACUUUGCAAAUUGUUCUAGUCAGGUCAUCGGCCAUGGGAUAUCUAACGAGCUUAUGCAAGACAUCAUCAAAAUGGUCCAUUACUUCUUUAACUUGCCUGCCAAGGAAAGGAUGGUUUACUACUCAACAGAUAUCUACAAGAGCUUUAGAUUCUCCACAGGAUCCAUAGCAAGUGCAAGUAAAAAGUUUUGGAGCGACUAUUUGUUCCAGCACUGUCAGCCAGCAGUUCACGAGGAUGAUCUACCAGAAAGUAUUCCAAAUUACAGGUACAAACUUUCCUUUAACAGAUUUUUUUUUUCUCUCUGUUUUAACACUAUAUAUUAACUAUAACAAAGGAAAAUUACAAGCAAUUACGCCAAGGCUGUGGACGAACUUGCCAGAAAACUGCUGCGAAUUAUUGCUCAAAACCUUGGUCUAGGUUGGCAGAUCCUGGAGAAACACUUGGAUCCUCCCAAGCAAACCAUGAAGAUGACAUAUUAUCCACAGUGACCAUGCCCUGAUCAAGCAAUUGGCAUAGGUUGCCAUGCUGAUCCAGGAACCAUAACGGUAUUACAACAAGAACUUGGAGUUGAGGGCCUUGAGGUUAACUACAAUGGCCAAUGGAUUCCUGUGAAGCCAGUUGAAGGCGCAUUAGUCAUUAAUGUAGCAGACAUGCUCCAGGUGAAAUAAUUUGAUGACAUUUUCUAUGAGCUCUUAGUUUCCCUCUUACAGAUACUAAGCAACAAUAAAUAUAAGAGUGCGAGUUCUAGUGAACACUAAGAGGCCACGAGUUUCAAUUGCUUCAUUUUAUGGUCCUACAGGUGAUAAACAUAUUGCCCCACUGGAGGAGUUGCUAGGUGACAAUCCUCCCAUGUUCAAAGCAUGCUUGUUCAGAGAGUACAUGGACAACUUCUACAAGAACCACCUUGGGACGCGAAACAUUGAGAAGCUCAGAAUCCUAAACAACUGAUGAUAGGAAAUAUAUUGUCAUGAUAAUACAUUAAUCCGAUCCUAUUAUGAUUAAUACUACUAAGGCUGACAUGACUGUGGCAUUCCAUCUGAAAGCUGUCUUACAACAGAGUUCGUGCAGUUCAUAUAUCAUAUUCCUUCACGGGACUCUUGUUUGCAUGUUUCUGUCCAAGAAGGCUGCAUGAUCAAAUACAAAGCAAAGGCUGCACAACAUUUCCCGUCUACACAAGGAGUUUCUUCUUCUCUUGGUAGCAGUCGAUUAUAGCAAGGGAGAGAGUUUCAGAGCUGUGCAAUGGGUGCAUUGUUGAGAUCCUUCGUUGUUCUCCUGGUAUACAGAUUAGCUCAUUACUCCACUCCAUUGAUGUUUCUUCGAUCCAUUCCCAGUGAUGAAUUUUGUUAUUUUCUCGUAGCUUGUCGUCGUCGCGGUGGAAGCGCGCUCCUGGUCUCCGCUCUACGGCACCAACGCGGGUGUGGGAUUCAACGACACGAGUUCUUCCUCGGCGAUCAAAACGCUCACCGGAAUCCGCGUACGCUAUGGCUGGGUGAUCGACGGCAUCCAGGGACAAUACACCACCGGCAGCUCUUCAACCUGGAUGCCUAACCACGGCACAACCACGCAAUUCACAGAGGUCAGUCGCCCAAAAGAACCAAAAUGAGCGUUUCUAGUUUCAAUCAUUCCAUUCCAUGACGCAGAUCCAAGUCGCCUAUCCGUCCGAGAGGUUCGUGCGCGCCACCGGCAAGUACGGGCCGUACAGAAGCGAGAAGAACCAGGGGGUCACGGUGACGGAGCUGUCGUUCGUCACGUACAACAACAUCACCGGCAAGAGCGUCACGUACGGCCCCUACGGCGGGCAUGGGAUGAGCGGCCAGACGAGCUUCCAGACGGCGGACGCGAGCGAGAUCGUGGGCUUGUAUGGAUUCACCUCGGACUACAUGCGCGGGAUUGGUUUCGCGCUCGAGCGUACCAAGAACUAGAAACUUGGCAUCAUGCCAUGAAUCUAUCUAUCUACUUACAAUUGUUGAUUUAUAGUUGAAUUUGAGAAUGUA